Molecule: small nuclear RNA, 61 nt
Filed under: Myotis brandtii (Brandt's bat)
Lineage: Eukaryota; Metazoa; Chordata; Mammalia; Chiroptera; Vespertilionidae
Source: RNAcentral
UAGAUUAGCAUGGCCCUUGCGCAAAGAUGACACACAAAUUCAUGAAGCAUUCCAUAUUUAA